UGCUUAUGUUUGGGUAAAGUGAUCACAAGGUGUUCGAUAUAAUACCCGAGAGAGUUUCCACAGGUGUUUCUGAUUUUUUUUCUCAGUUUGAGUGAGCUGGAUCUUCCAGGAUGAAGACGAUGAUCUUGGAUGUUUGCAAUGAGAUUAUAAACAUAAAUAAAUCAUUACAUUAUUAUAGUUUAGAGAUGCUUUUAUUCUUAUACUGCAAAUUGUAGUGGUUUUAAUAAUCAAGAUGUGAUCAUUACAUAAUUGUAAUUUAGGGAGGCCUUUAUUCUCAUACUGCAAAUUGUAUUGGUUUUAAUAAUCAAGAUGUGGUUUAGUGGUUACCAACCUAAUUGAUUCUUUCAAAAAAAAAAAAAAAACUAUUUGCACAAACAAAAAUUAAUCAAUACAUAAUUUUAUAUUAGGGAUGCUUUUCAUAGUUUUAUACUGCAAAUUGUAUUAGCCCAAUAAAUAAAAUGUCUCAGCUCGGCCCAAAAGAAGCUGGACAAUACACGGCCUUAUUGAUGUUCUAACCAUUUGCUUUUCCCAUUGCAUAUUUCGCGAGAGGUUCUUAAUUGUCGGAAGACGUGCUUAUGUUUGGGUAAAGUGAUCACAAGGUGUUCGAUAUAAUACCUGAGAGAGUUUCCACAGGUGUUUCUGAUUUUUACUCAGUUUGAGUGAGCUGGAUCUUCCACGAUGAAGACGAUGAUCUUGGAUGUUUGCAAUGAGAUUAUAAAGAUCCAGAAGCUAAGACGGGCUGUCUCUUACGCUGGAUUCUACUGCUUCACUGCAGCCCUCACAUUCUUCUACACAAACAACACG
This 804-nucleotide long non-coding RNA is filed under the name Brassica rapa (field mustard). RNAcentral describes it as "long non-coding RNA (BRAP_LNC007388)". The record is from RNAcentral. Lineage: Eukaryota; Viridiplantae; Streptophyta; Magnoliopsida; Brassicales; Brassicaceae.